UUGAUAAAAGAAUAUUGAUGAAUUCAUUCUGCAACCUCAAACUCAAAGAAUAAAUACAGAAAAAAAUCAUUUUGAUUUGCUUGUUCCUGAAAAUAUUUUAUGGUCUAGACGUCGUAGAGAAUUGAGAAUUCGAAGUUUUUUUAAUUCUUUGAAUUGCAACCUCAAACUCAAAGAAUAAAUACAGACAAAAAUCAUUUUGAUUUGCUUGUUCCUGAAAAUAUUUAAUGGUCUAGACGUCGUAGAGAAUUGAGAAUUCGAAGUUUUUUCAAUUCUUUGAAUUGGAAUGGCAUCGAUAGAAAUUCAGUAUUUUGCAACGAAAACAAUGUAAAAAACUGGAGUCAAUUUUUGGAUGAAAGGAAACCU
RNAcentral lists this long non-coding RNA (363 nucleotides) under Nicotiana benthamiana. RNAcentral's name for it is "long non-coding RNA (NBEN_LNC025599)". Lineage: Eukaryota; Viridiplantae; Streptophyta; Magnoliopsida; Solanales; Solanaceae. The record is from RNAcentral.